AAUAUUGCACAAUGGGCUCAAGCCUGAUGCAGCGACGCCGCGUGAGCGAAGAAGGUUUUCGGAUCGUACAGCUCUGUCCUCUGGGAAGAAAAGGUUCUGGCUAAUACCCGGAACUGAUGACGGUACCUGUAGAAUAAGCACCGGCUAACUACGUGCCAGCAGCCGCGGUAAUACGUAGGGUGCAAGCGUUAAUCGGAAUUACUGGGCGUAAAGCGUGCGCAGGCGGUUCGGAAAGAAGGAUGUGAAAUCACAGGGCUCAACCUUGGAACUGCAUUCUUAACUACCGAACUAGAGUAUGUCAGAGGGGGGUAGAAUUCCGCGUGUAGCAGUGAAAUGCGUAGAUAUGCGGAGGAAUACCGAUGGCGAAGGCAGCCCCCUGGGAUAAUACUGACGCUCAUGCACGAAAGCGUGGGUAGCAAACAGG
Molecule: ribosomal RNA, 424 nt
Filed under: uncultured bacterium
Lineage: Bacteria
Description: partial 16S ribosomal RNA
Rfam family: Bacterial small subunit ribosomal RNA
Source: RNAcentral